RNAcentral lists this ribosomal RNA (254 nucleotides) under uncultured bacterium. RNAcentral describes it as "partial 16S ribosomal RNA". It matches the Rfam family "Bacterial small subunit ribosomal RNA", at positions 524 to 776 of the family's 1533-position model. The record is from RNAcentral.
UACGUAGGGUGCGAGCGUUGUCCGGAAUUAUUGGGCGUAAAGAGCUCGUAGGCGGUGUGUCGCGUCGGCCGUGAAAACCUGCAGCUUAACUGUGGGCUUGCGGUCGAUACGGGCAUCACUGGAGUUCGGCAGGGGAGACUGGAAUUCCUGGUGUAGCGGUGAAAUGCGCAGAUAUCGUUUGGAACGCCAAUGGUGAAAACAGACAGCUGGGAGUGUGCUGACGCUGAGACACGAAAGCCAGGGGAGCGAACGGG